RNAcentral lists this transfer RNA (72 nucleotides) under Phrynosoma platyrhinos (Desert horned lizard). RNAcentral describes it as "tRNA-OTHER". The record is from RNAcentral. Lineage: Eukaryota; Metazoa; Chordata; Lepidosauria; Squamata; Phrynosomatidae.
GCCAGAAUGACAUAGUGGUUUGAGUGUUGGACUACGACUCUGGAGACUAGGGUUCAAUUUCCAGCUCGGCCA